RNAcentral lists this long non-coding RNA (268 nucleotides) under Brassica napus (rape). RNAcentral's name for it is "long non-coding RNA (BNAP_LNC024917)". The record is from RNAcentral. Lineage: Eukaryota; Viridiplantae; Streptophyta; Magnoliopsida; Brassicales; Brassicaceae.
AGCGAAGAUAUAAUCAAAAGAAAAUCGAGGGAUGAGGAACACAUACCUUGUUAAGAUAUGAAGAGUCGGAGGAGAGGAUGAUUUCGAAUUUGAAGGUGACGGAAGAGAUCGCUCGAAAGAGGAGAGAUCGCAAUUGAGGAGAGGCUUAGAGGAGACGAUGUCCGCAACAACAACACCGAAUCGUCGUCAACGCUUCCGAUUUGGUGCCUUCGGCGUCGAGAGAGAUCGAGAAAAGAAAGAAAUGAGACAAACGAGAGAGAGAGAGAGA